Molecule: ribosomal RNA, 391 nt
Filed under: Oribacterium sinus
Lineage: Bacteria; Bacillati; Bacillota; Clostridia; Lachnospirales; Lachnospiraceae
Description: bacterial SSU rRNA
Rfam family: Bacterial small subunit ribosomal RNA
Source: RNAcentral
GGAAAGCUUCGGCCGGAAGAUGCGUUAUCUAGUGGCGGACGGGUGAGUAACACGUGGGUAACCUGCCUUAUGGAGGGGGAUAACAGAGAGAAAUCACUGCUAAUACCGCAUAAGCACACAGUACCGCAUGGUAGAGUGUGAAAAGAUUUAUCGCCAUAAGAUGGACCCGCGUCUGAUUAGCCAGUUGGCAGGGUAAAAGCCUACCAAAGCGACGAUCAGUAGCCGAUCUGAGAGGAUGACCGGCCACAUUGGGACUGAGACACGGCCCAAACUCCUACGGGAGGCAGCAGUGGGGAAUAUUGCACAAUGGGGGAAACCCUGAUGCAGCGACGCCGCGUGAGUGAAGAAGUAUUUCGGUAUGUAAAGCUCUAUCAGCAGGGAAGAUAAUGAC